Non-coding RNA from Pelobates cultripes (western spadefoot toad), 209 nucleotides. The record is from the annotation of a GenBank genome assembly. Lineage: Eukaryota; Metazoa; Chordata; Amphibia; Anura; Pelobatidae.
GCUGAACAUACCCCAUUUGCAAUACCUUGGGUUGUCUUCUUUUGCAAAUGGUAUGCCAUCAUGGGGCUAAUUCUCAUUCCUGGGCUACCAUACGCUCUCAAAGGCAACCUAACCAAUCUGACAAAUUUCAAUAAAAAAAAAAAAAGUAAAAUCAAGCCUUAUAUUUGACCCUGUAACUUUCACAAACACUAUAAAACCUCUACAUGUGG